AAUCUAUCAUCAAUCCUAGGUUUUCUCCGCCUUUGAUUAUAUUUUUCUGUUCAUGUUCCUGAGUUUUUGGAAUUGAUAUUUCGGUUGUUAGGGUUUGUGCUUUUGAGGCUUAUUCAUAAUUGGUUUCGUUUCUCCUUCUUCGAUUAUGUCGGUAGUUUAGGUUUCUUCGAGCAUGGACUUUGAUUUAUGAUUGCAUAAUCUCUCAUGGAGUCCUGAUCUUCUACUUGAUUGUCCACUUCAUACGAUUUGAUGUUAGGAGUUUUUAAGUUUAAUCUCUUGGUGAUUUUGGAUUCUACUCUACUGUAGCUUUAUGUGGUCCAUUGCUUUCGGAUUUCAUUAACAAUAACGGUGCUUUUCGGCUAUGAUGAUGCAGGUCCCGUUUUUGUUUUUAUCAACUGAAGAAUGUCCAAUUACCAAGGGGACGAUGCUGAGUAUAUGGAUGAUGUUGAUGAUGAAAUGGAAGAUGUUGAUGAUGAUUUCGAUGAGGAUUUUCGUGGCGAUGAUCUGGCUGAAUCUGAUUCCGAUGUCGACGAGUUUGACUACUCU
Molecule: long non-coding RNA, 546 nt
Filed under: Capsella grandiflora
Lineage: Eukaryota; Viridiplantae; Streptophyta; Magnoliopsida; Brassicales; Brassicaceae
Description: long non-coding RNA (CGRA_LNC000002)
Source: RNAcentral